RNAcentral lists this long non-coding RNA (1842 nucleotides) under Pogona vitticeps (central bearded dragon). Its description in RNAcentral is "lncRNA (ENSPVIG00000018319.1)". Lineage: Eukaryota; Metazoa; Chordata; Lepidosauria; Squamata; Agamidae. The record is from RNAcentral.
AUGAUGAGCAAAUCUUUUUUAAAAAAUAGUAAUAAUGAUAAUAAUAAAAGUGUAGCAUGUCCCAACCCGGAGGUGCUUCGGUUGCAAGCCAUAUGGAGUUUUAAGACCCUAAAGAGCAGGUCUCGGAAAGGGCAGCGCGCCGCGCGAUCCCAGGCGCGCUUCCUCGGAAGUAAGUCGGAGCGCGCCAGGGAUCCACGCGCCAGCAAGGCAGGGGGUAUGAGCGCACCCCCGGAUUCGCACCGCAGGCAAGCCCAGGCUGGCGCUUUUGCGCCCAAGAGAGGCGCGAGGCCCUUUGCUCGCAGCUGCAGGACGGACGGACGCACACAGACACAGACACACACACACCCGAUACCUUUCCAGCCGUUUGCAAACCGUCCGUUUCCCCCCCCCCCAGGUUCCCCUCACCUCUCAGCAGCAGCAGCAGCAACGCGGGCGAAAGGAGCGGUGACCUUGCAGCCAAAUUCCUCGCCCGAGUCGGAAACGAAGCCCUGGGCUUCUCCUCCUUUUCUUCUUCUUCCUCCUCCUCCUCCUCUUCCUCCCAGCUGGGGGGGGCGCGAGCCAGAGGCGAGAGGAACCAUCCGGCGAAGGCUCUCGAGCCCGGGCUCUCAAAGCCCAGCCUUGCCCGGUCGGCGAGCGCUUCAGGGAGGCGGCGGCGGCGACGGCGGCGCAAAAGGCGCCCCAAAGGGGAAGCCCGCCCCGGCUCUUCUCCUCGCCGUCAGCGGCCGCCUCUGCUUCUCCCGGCCGGCGUUCGGGCUCGGCUGCCCGGGGCAGUGCGCAGGUGGGGCCGGGCGGCGGCUGCUGUUGCUUCCUCCGCGAGAGGCUGGAGAGGAGCCGCCGGCGUCGCCUUCUCCACCCGGAGGCAGCUGGCCGAGCGAGGCGAAAGGGGCGAGCGAGAAGCGGAGCGGCCUCCGGAGGCCGAGCGGGGGACGCUACUGGUGGCCGGGAGGCGGCGACGGGCUCUGCGGGCCUCGGAACGCCAGCCCUCGGCGCCGCUGAGCGCUUCCUGCCGGAGAGAGAGAAGGGCGCUUGCUAGGCGGCCGCCGGUCGCUUCGCGCCUAUGUUGACUCCAGGAUGCGAGCGGAGGCGUGGCUUGCCGCUGCCACCCGCCUAGUCAUCGCCCGUGGCGGAGGAGGGAUUCGAACCCGGGACUUCAGACUCCUGGUCCCUCCUGUUCCCCGCUGGGUCUCAAUGGAGGACCUGCAUUGGCUCUCUCGCGCGCUCUCUGUCUCCUGCCAACCGAGCUUCACCUCCUCUUACCUGUAGAGGGAACCUGCGUAAAAUUACCAUUACAGUAUUUCAUUGGUACCUAGUGCAUCUUAUUACUUGGACAGAUAAAUGCCUAGAAAACUUCACUCUCAAUGGAUCACAACAAGGGGAGAGGCAACUGCAUAAGGAAAGAAGAGAGCUCGUGAAUUGCUCCAGGCAGGAGAGGGAUUCAAGUUCCUACAAUAGUGUAUUCCUUGAUCUGAACACCAGUGAACUCCUCAUUUUUCACUUUGAUUUACACGGUAGAACUGCUCUCCUAGGAAUGCAUCUUGCAGCGGUCAUUUCCCCCGUCAUAACAUCCUCUUUAUUGAAUCGCAGCUCUUCUGCCCUCUUCCAUUUUCCACCAAGUUGUGUCAAUUGAGGAGUUUGUUCUUUGGUGGGUCAUAGGAAAAUGAAGUGCCUGGUCCGCAUUGAUCAGCUAACCCAGUAUUUCAACAUGGACUGCCAGUGGUUUUCCAAGGUUUCAGUCACUAUUGUUUUCCUUUAAGUAAACAAAAACAAACCAGCAAUGUUUCGCUCAGAUUUAUAAUCGGACCAAAAAAUAAAAAACAAAUCACCAAAAAAAAAAGCUAUUUA